UAGGGAAUCUUCCACAAUGGACGAAAGUCUGAUGGAGCAACGCCGCGUGAGUGAAGAAGGUUUUCGGAUCGUAAAGCUCAGUUGUUGGUGAAGAAGGAUAGAGGCAGUAACUGGUCUUUAUUGACGGUAAUCAACCAGAAAGUCACGGCUAACUACGUGCCAC
This 163-nucleotide ribosomal RNA is filed under the name uncultured bacterium. Its description in RNAcentral is "partial 16S rRNA". It matches the Rfam family "Bacterial small subunit ribosomal RNA", at positions 355 to 511 of the family's 1533-position model. The record is from RNAcentral.